UACGUAGGGGGCGAGCGUUGUCCGGAAUCAUUGGGCGUAAAGCGCGCGCAGGCGGCCUCUUAAGUCUGGUGUGAAAGCCCACGGCUCAACCGUGGAGGGCCAUUGGAAACUGGGAGGCUUGAGUGCAGGAGAGGAGAGUGGAAUUCCUGGUGUAGCGGUGAAAUGCGUAGAGAUCAGGAGGAACACCGAUGGCGAAGGCAGCUCUCUGGCCUGUAACUGACGCUGAGGCGCGAAAGCGUGGGGAGCAAAC
This 250-nucleotide ribosomal RNA is filed under the name uncultured Bacilli bacterium. Its description in RNAcentral is "partial 16S ribosomal RNA". It matches the Rfam family "Bacterial small subunit ribosomal RNA", at positions 524 to 773 of the family's 1533-position model. The record is from RNAcentral. Lineage: Bacteria; Bacillati; Bacillota; Bacilli.